CACCCAGGUCAGUGCUUGGCACCUGGUAAGCACUCAGUAAACACUUGUUGAGUGCCUGCUGUGUGCCAGCAUUGUGCCGAGGGCU
Molecule: microRNA precursor, 85 nt
Filed under: Pteropus vampyrus (large flying fox)
Lineage: Eukaryota; Metazoa; Chordata; Mammalia; Chiroptera; Pteropodidae
Description: miRNA (ENSPVAG00000026201.1)
Rfam family: mir-1271 microRNA precursor family (bases 5-80)
Source: RNAcentral